CCGCCGGCGGGAAAGAUCAAACGAGAAGGCCGCGCAUUAUGGCGGAGCCCGGCACGGAGCAAGGUACCGCAUAUUCUCAGAGACUACGAGCUGCUGUUCACUACACUGUUGGAUGUCUUUGUGAAGAGACUGGGGAGAAUAAAGAAGUAGAGUUCAGUAAACAAACAAUUGCUGCCAUAUCUGAAACAACCUUCAGACAGUGCGAGAAUUUUGCCAAAGACCUUGAACGAUUUGCAAAGCAUGGCAAGAGGACCACCAUUAAUACUGAUGAUGUGAAACUGCUAGCAAGAAGGAGCAAAGCACUGGAAAACUUCAUUACAGAGAAAUGUAAUGAACUUGCUGCUAGUAAUGCUGAGCAAAAAGAAAAGAAAAUCAUCACUGCUGGAAAAGGAAAGAAGAAAUCUGGUAACCACGGAGAAUCCAGAAUAAUAGAAAACGAAGACACUACAGAUAACUAAUCUGCAAUUUGAAAACUUGGACAUAGGACUGACUACAUCCACGAAACAAGAAGCCUCAAAGAAUGAAGGACAGAAACAUCAGACCCCCAAAGCAUCCCCUCCCCCCUACCACAAACAAGCAGCAACAGAAGCAUCGACCCUCCCCCAACCCCUUCAAGCACUUUGAAGCAUUUCUGUAGGACAUUAUGAUCAGGAAAGUCCUGAUUUGCUCAGGGCCUCAUGAGUAAGUUAGGAGACAUCAACACAAGACCAAAUCAAGGAGUUGACCAGAAGUAAAAAGUCACUGAUAUUGAAGCUGCUGGCUGGCUUGUUGGAAAUUGAUGAUCAUCUUUCUGAAAGUGGCUUUAUGUAUUCGAACACAGAAGAGGCAGAAGAGACUUCACGUGAGGGGAGGUCAGUAGCUGGAGGAA
This is an RNA transcript of Mobula hypostoma (lesser devil ray), 868 nucleotides long. It is a transcript of the gene named centromere protein S, with no coding region annotated. The transcript has 7 exons. Lineage: Eukaryota; Metazoa; Chordata; Chondrichthyes; Myliobatiformes; Myliobatidae. The record is from RefSeq and is a predicted model, not a curated record.